CCUACGGGUGGCAGCAGUGGGGAAUAUUGGACAAUGGGCGAAAGCCUGAUCCAGCCAUGCCGCGUGUGUGAAGAAGGCCUUCGGGUUGUAAAGCACUUUCAGUGGGGAAGAAAGCCUUGGGGCUAAUACCCUCGAGGAAGGACAUCACCCACAGAAGAAGCACCGGCUAACUCCGUGCCAGCAGCCGCGGUAAUACGGAGGGUGCGAGCGUUAAUCGGAAUUACUGGGCGUAAAGCGCGCGUAGGCGGUCUGAUAAGCCGGUUGUGAAAGCCCCGGGCUCAACCUGGGAACGGCAUCCGGAACUGUCAGGCUAGAGUGCAGGAGAGGAAGGUAGAAUUCCCGGUGUAGCGGUGAAAUGCGUAGAGAUCGGGAGGAAUACCAGUGGCGAAGGCGGCCUUCUGGACUGACACUGACGCUGAGGUGCGAAAGCGUGGGUAGCAAACAGGAUUAGAUACCCUGUAGUC
This 464-nucleotide ribosomal RNA is filed under the name Vreelandella stevensii. RNAcentral's name for it is "partial 16S ribosomal RNA". It matches the Rfam family "Bacterial small subunit ribosomal RNA", at positions 338 to 795 of the family's 1533-position model. The record is from RNAcentral. Lineage: Bacteria; Pseudomonadati; Pseudomonadota; Gammaproteobacteria; Oceanospirillales; Halomonadaceae.